CCAUUAUUGUACCCCCGACCCCAUUUGAUGGGGCAUUGCGGUUGUAAAAUGGGGGUUUUCAAGGAAUAACGGUGGCGUAGGGGAAAUUGAGACGAGCCAAACAGAGAAAAGAAUAACUCAGCCAUGACCAACAAGGCAGUCAGCCGCAGCGACAAUUUCAGUAGGAUUAUUUCUGCAGUCAGAUUCGAAAUAUCCCGCGCAAUGUGUGUCGGCGCUGUUUUUCUGUUCGGAGUAGCCGCGCCUUGGUGCUGCAGAGGACGCCGAAGUCGGAACUACGCGCGGAGGAACACCAGCCUUCGGAGCGCGCGCGCGCGCGCUGAAAGCUGCGAUUGAGCAGCCAUUUGCCAGCGACGGCACAUUCUUCUACCGUGGUUGAUGUUUCUCACUGCUUUGAACCCCCAAGACUCCACGGACUGCGGCUGCGGUCGUUUCAUUGCCAACUGUGACGAUGAAGCAGCUUCAUGGCCGGAGAUCGGGCGCCUCCCAUCAAUUUCCCUUUUCAGCAAUAGAGGCCUUGGAGGCCUUUCUACCUGCGUUGCAUCCUGUGGCUGGACCACUCCAACGAUCUCGGCAGAAUCGUUACACAGCAUGAAAAAAACAUCUUAGAUGAAACAAGGCAAAAAUGGCUGCUUAUGCAUUUGUACGAUAUUCCAACUGAGAGGGGUGAAAAGUAAUAAAAUGUUCUACUUUCAUAAUUUUUCUACCAUGUGUACAACAUUUCUUAAUAGGCAUGAAGCAAAUUCACUUUUAUCACUAGCCUAUUACAGAAACAAAAAAUGACAAACAGCUUUUAAGGGGGCCCUCAGAAGGGCCCAGUCCGUGCGUCUUCUUUUCUAGCGCCAUGGCUGUGAGCGCAGCUGAGCACAUCUGCAGCCUCCACACCCUGUUCUAGAGGUGAUCUGCUGCGUGUGGAAAGACUAGACGUGCUGAUAUGGCGUGGUAUUAUGUGCACAGUCUUCCCACGUGUUUAGUACACGGGGUUGCAUAAUCUCUAGUUUCAGAGAUGCAUUGAAGUUUGAGACAGACAAAGCAUUCGCCUCCACUGCCAGCACUUUUCAUGAUAGUGUCGUUCCACUGUGUGUGGCAGUAUCAAAGAGGACAGGGUGGAUGCGAAAGCAAGGCUGGGUUUUGCUUCAUGCUACCUAUGUGAAGGUAUCGUUAACACACCGUGAAACCGUAUCUUUGGUCGCUGACUCUCAAAUUCAAAAUUUUUUUCUCAUUCAGAUUUGUGUUUUCUGACUGCGGCCCUUUCCAUGGGAAAACAAUCCAUUUGCAAAUGUACUUAUUUGACUAAACGGUCGAAUCUGAGUACAACAAACCAAAUUGCUGAUUUUAGUGCAUUCAUUAUGUUGGGGUUCCUUUGUAUAUGACUCCAGAAAAAGCCGACCAUUGUCUGCUCAUACUCCGCCGCGCCCGCCCAUAUAGGAAUAAACUUAAUUUUGGUUGGCCACGAUGCUUAUCGGUGUAGUAGCUGUCGUGUGUCCACCCAUACUCAUUUUGUUGGCUUCCCGAAAACCUGAAAGAACAGCUGUAUUUUGCUUAUGUGCAUUCACUAAUCAAAUAAGUACAUGUUUGCUAGAAUCCCCAUAAUAUUGAGUCAGCUGGUCUGCUUGAAAAUGUUCAAAAUAUGGCAGUUAGAUUUGUAAUAGGAAGUCAUACUAAAAGGCUUUGUAUUACUGAGAGUAAGGGUAAGCUGCAAUGGCAGGAUUUAAAAGAGUGGGAAAUCUCUUCAGUUAAAAUUAUUUCAAGCAUAUACUGUUCCAAACAUGUAGAGAUAGAGAAAUUCAUAUCAGGCUAUCAUCAUACCUCACAAGAAAGAGAUUACACUAAAAAGGUUUAUUAAUUUCCUUUUACUUAUAGGUGAUGCCUCACAUUGUUUUUUCCUUGGACCAAAGGGACUGCAAGGUUUUUCAGCCUGCAAUUGUUUGCAUAGUUUUCAAAGAUAAUUCCCUCCCUGCUUUGUGUGCUUGAUUUGAAUGUAAGUUACAUUACACAGAAUGUAUACCCCCCCUGCAAUGCCAGUACAGGCGAAGCAGGUACUAAAUGAAUAACCACAAAAGGAUUUUGGAGCGAGCAAAAAUGGCAUGUGCAAUAGAUAUGCGUAGAUGUCCCGUUGGUGUUGCUGUCAAACAAGAAAUUGGGAUAUCGAGGAACUGAGCAAAGUAACUACAUGUGUGCUUGCCAAACUAUAGCUGUCAUUUACACCUUGAUUGUGACUUAGCUACCAAAAGAAGUUUUUUUGUCUUGUUCUUUUUCUGUUAAAAUGUACUUUUUUCUUUGUCUACUUUCAUUUGGGUUUUUGUAGCUAUAUCGUGCACAUGUGACCAAUAAUGCCGUGUGGAAGUUAGUGGUUGUGGGUAUUCCAUCCUGCCUGUCGUUUGUUCAGUGUGUGUACUAAAGUCAAUAGAGCACCAACCAGUAUAAACCAGUGUGUUGAAUUUGUUUUCUAGUUUUAGUACGAAUGAUCUGACUGGUGAUGUGCCCAAAUAAACAAUUAGAUUAUGAAAACAAAGUUCAUCAGAACAUGUCAUGCAUUUUACUUAUAAUGACCCUAUUUCAACUGCAGAACCCACAUAUUAAGGCAUGUAGAUUUAAGUAGAACAAGUCUUUUUGCAAUCCUUAGUUCUGAAUAGGUGAGAGCAGUGCUAAGGACACAAAGUGAGUCCACAUAGAUAAAUGGCAUGGUGCACUGUGCACUGACUAAUAAUUGAUGUGUUUUUGCAACAGACAAGCAAAUAAAUAUCCAGUAAUGCCUUGUCAAAGGCACGAAACCACAUAAAGAGGCAGGGGGUGGUCAGGUACAAAUGUGCCGUGGUUUCAGGUUUGUUAACAAGCAUACCACUUUUCUGUAACUUCAGAGAACAGGUGCUGCGCUGACACAUUAAUCUUUUUUUUUUUUCUUGUUGUUAUUUUGUGGGAUUUGAUUAGUUUCUGGGUUAAUGGUUGCUGCUUUCGCUAACAUGUUGCACUUAUGAAAUUUGGGCUGUCAUCUGCACUGUAUACAGUGUAUGUACUCUUAUGGUCACAUUAUAGUGGUGCUUAAUCGUGAAGGCUCUCAUUCAAAUAUAAGCUUGUCUGGUCUACAUAUGCUUUCCUUCAUGCCAAAGGAAUAAGAUAUACUAUGUUUGUGUCAGAAGGAAAGAAACUGAGACUGGUGUCUAUUAUUGCACAUAAAUCUAUGCUUAGUUGCGUUAACAUUUUUGCAUAAUUUCAACAACUUAUUUAGUGCAUUUCUGUAACAUUCACACUCUUUCUUAUCCACUUAGGUGUAAGGAAUAAAGGCAAAAAAGUAAAGCAUUGCAGUGGAUUUAACUUAAUUCUCUUGAUUCUUGUUACCUUCUUGAUAGCUUUUCUAUUUGGAAGAGCAUAUGUACAAAAGCAUGUUUUGACCAAAUAGGCUGCUGUUUGGGAGGCUUUGCAAGCACCACUAUAACGUGACAAAAGCAGUUUGUGGCCAUUUGGUUAUAUAAAUUCUGGUGUAAUGACACCACAAAAAGUAAACAAAGAUAUGUACACACAUGACACAAGCACCGGAUCUCACUUCAAGCUUUAAAAUAAGGAAACAGGCAAUAUUUAAUAACAGGUGGAGACAUGAUGUGAUGAUAUCUGUUAAAAGAAAUUCUUUAUGCAGUGCAACUAUUGGAUCACUGAUACAUUCGUCAUUCUUUUUAAAUGUUGCAUGUUGUCAGGUCGUAAUACCUGGCUACAACGCAAGUUUUGUGGAACACAGGACCGCAGUCACAUUCUUUGCAGUAUUUAACAUUGUGUGAUGGAGGAUAGUUUCACACGGACGACUCAUACUCACUCAAUUACCCUGAUUUCGCAUUAAUAGAGCAUCUCAUCUGUCCAAUGUAGGCACGGCCUUAUGAUGGCAGCAGACUACACAACGCUUGCGGCCUAGCUCACUAGAUGCAUAUUGUGCUUCAACCACAACCAACCUUUUCCUUUUUUUUGGCUUCUGCAUUUUAUUACAGCACAAAACUCUCCUAACAAGGGCCUGAGAAAACAAUGAUUUGCGCAACUAAAUUAGGCAUGAAUAUGGAAUAUAAUGAAUGAGAUGAAGUAAAAAAGGGUUGCAGUUGUUUCGUAUGCAUUUGUAAUUUUCAUGGGUAAUUGUGUAGCUGGUCUCUACGGGCAAAAAUUUUUUUUCUGUAUGAAACAUGUGAUGAGAUUUGCUCUGAUGAGAAAAAGAGACAAGCCAGGAAAACAAAUUAAUUUGUUGCGUGCAGCACAAUUUGCAGGCAGUGCACUGUGCAACGGAGGUUAUGUACAGUCAGCCAUUCCCAUCCAGUCAUGCUUGCAUUGCAUACACACAUUGUAUUAAUUUGAGAUUGCGGCUAAUGAAGUUUGUGUGGAAUAACUCUCAUUCGCACAUAGUGAUGCACUGCAAAAUAGAUUGGUUCGUUCCUGUGUUCAUCAAAACUCGUAGCCAGAAAUUAUGAGCAGAUGUACAUAAGAUAAUUAAGCUUUGGUAGAUUAGCACGAAAAGGACAAAUGCGUCAGUCAUUCUCAGUUACAUUGCACAAAGAAUUUGUUUUUGAAUUAAUGACAUCACUUCCUGUCACUAUGUGUUGUAUAUGAUGUCUGUUUUCUUGUUAAAGCGAGAGUUCAGGUUAGGCACUUAUGUCCUGUAUGUCUUUGUCUUCGUUUGCUUCUGUGGUGCCAUUACACCAGAAUAAGUCCAUGACAGGAGCUGCCAGUCUAUGCAGUUAUACUACAUUGGGCUCAGUACGCCUGGGGGCCUGAAUGUGACGAGUGCGAAGUAGCAGUAAGAAAUUCAGAAGGGUAGAAUUUUGUGUCGGUGGUGCAUAUUACAGUAUGGUGAAGCGCUAUAGAUGGAACAGUGUGAGGCAAGACAGAUGGGGAAAGUGCUACAGACAACUGUGAAUGUUUACUGGAAAGUUUCGCUGCAGCGGGACAAUGCAUGUAUUAUCCUGGUGCAGCAAAAUUUGCCAAUGUUCAUAGUUGUCAGCACUUGCCCAUCUACAUUACACUUCACCGUACACUAGUAGUGGUAACAACAGCAACCAACUGACCCGAGCAAUAAUGAAAGCCCACAGAAUUGCCAAAUUGUAGGAGAAAUGUUUCAGUGUAACACAUGUUUUGUUAACUGACAAGCAAAUGUCAUACAUGUCUGUGAACCGAUGAUCAGAUGCAUUUUUCAUGCACAUACAUUAUUUUGUACAACUGCUUCCUGCUUUGGUUUUUCAUGGCUUUUAGGAAGCAUUCCAAAGUACUUAACUGUUUGUCUGUUCUAAAAUUGAAUCUGUUCUCAGCCAGCACUAUGUGGCACUACUGCAUAAGCCCUUACUUCGUCAGUGUCCUUCGUACUGUUCCCAACUAAAUAUGAAUAACCAAAUAACCAUGUUUUUAAAUUUUCAGAUUAUGAAGAAAAUACUCUUAAUAUGUAUUUCAUUAGAAAAAUUUUCUCAAUUUUAGGAAGUCUGGCUGGCCCCAAGCCUGGUGCAAAAUGAAGAAAUGGCACUCCACAUCAAUUCAUGUUUACUUGUCGUCAUAACCAGUCUGUUAGCUUAAUUUUUGGUUCUUCCUAUUGAAUUCUCAAGAAAGGUACCAACUCUGUCAUUCAUUGAAAACAAAUUUUUGCACUUGGGGAUGCAGCCAUGCACAAAGCCUUUGAGCUCAUUAAUAUCUUUAUUUUUUAAGGAAAGUGCAGCUCCUGCGUGGAGCAAUAGGUUGAAUAAGACGAGGGUAAAUGAAAAGAUGGCGAAAUUAGUCAUCAACAGUUGUCCAGCAAAGGAAGUCUCAAGCUGGAGGCAACAUCUUUGCAAGAGAACCAAAUGGCUCCAGCCUGGGACAUUCGUUGUUCAACCUGGCAAGUCUCCUUCUCGAAAUAUUUCCUCUAGCCUGAGACCUAUAUCCAUUCCACCACCCUUGACCAACAAUACACCUAUACAUUUGGCAACCCAUGGAAAGGUAGCAAAUUCACAUUCAAGGAAAGGGAAUGUAGUGUGCACCCUGGAAGGUAGCAUGAACAGUAUUUUAUUUACUUAAUGAAAUGCAGAUUUGCUAUCCAAUUACUUUAUUUUGAUCCCUUUUUUAUAAUUGGACAGCAUGGUUCCUCAGAGAGAAUAAUAAUUCGAAGCUCACACAAUUUUGCUCCUUUAUGUCCGUUAAAUCUGUCCUGGUUGCUACACUAUCAGCCCUGUCUGCAAUUGCAUAGCAGUGUUUUGAGCAUGCAUCCAAAUUCAAAAGAAUAGUUAGGCUUCUACCUCAGAAUGUUUGCUACUGUGUUGCAGCUCGAAUUCUAUGUCUAGGUGGUCACUGUGAUGCCAUGUGCUUUUUAAAUAAGACCAAUAUGCUAUUUGAAGGGCAAUUAAAUGCAAUCUCAAAUGACCUCAGCUCGGGGAAUGACACUAUUGGAGGUCAAUGUGAUAAGGAGGAUUUUAUUUCUGAAAACAAGGCACUUAAACGGGAGAAAGCAUGACUAAUUUCGUCUAAACAUGCUGCUAUUGGAUAUGAUCAAGGAGGGUACUUGUUCGUGGCUGCAUUCGCAACAUGUUACAUUGCUGGCUUUAUAUAUUGCACUGGGUACAGUGAAAUGUUGCUGCUUGCACAAUAUUCAACUAAACAUGGUAGCCAUGCUAAUGUGUCCAUGCAGAACACAACUCAUCCACUAUUAUGGCCUACAGUGGAAUCUCGAUAAACGAAAAUCGCUUCAAUGCUGCCGCUUAAAUAGGACACCAUCCUGAUAAUUGGUUGGCUCUCUGCAAUGUCUCUCAGUAGAUAUAAUGCCUGGUAAAUGGAACCAAUUUCCCUGGCACCUUGAGGCUCCAUUUAAAGAGCACCCACUGUAAAAAUAUAGGGGGGAUCGUGUUUGGAACUUUCGUAAAUGUAGUCUUAAACAAAACCGCAUUUCAGUGGGAGCGAAAUGCAAAAGCACCCGUGUACUUAGGUGCAUGUUAAAGAACCCCAGGUUGUCCAAAUUAAUUCGGGGUUACUCGCUAUGGCAUGUGUCAUAAUCAGAAGGUGGGUUCUGGUUCGUAAAAUACAAUAAUUUUUAAUAGCUUGCUCAGAAAUCCAGCACUAAAUUAUGUAGCUCGUUUGUGUGAUGAGUCCCAAUUUCUUAAUUUAGUACUUUGACAUUUAUCAUAUUUGUGUGCUAGUCCAUGCAAAAUACCACUGAUCGGCCUCAUUAUACCAGCCACUGUUAAUUAGGAAUGGCUUAGUCAAGCAACUUAAACUUGCAGCACAAACACCUAAGACGAACCACAAAAGGAAGAUACGACACACACUGGUGCUAACAACUUCUUUAUUUCUUCGUCGUCGAUGCAAUAUAAACCCUAGGCCACACUACCGCGCAGGCACUCGGAUUACAUUACAGAGAUCUGCCAAAUUAUCACAUACGCAAGCGUAGGAAGUCAAAUUCAGAUGGAUGCAGGAACAAACAUAUCUUACUAAUGCAAUUAUCGCCCUGCCUUUCUUGUGGUAGGCCUCUAAGGCAAGCCGCACAUGCUCAUUCUUGCUUUUGCCAAGAAUCGACGUCCCAUCAAGUUGUGCCUCACAAUUGUUGCAAGAGUUUAUAUGCGCACCAAGGUGCGCUCCUCUAUCUACAUUUUUGCUUACUUGUUGCGCAUGUUCCCUGAGUCGCUCAUUGACGCAAUGCCCUAUCUAGCCAAGCUAUGUCUUACCACAUGAGAGUGAAUGGCAUAAACCCCGCCGACUGUGCACAACACGUAUGAAGCAUCAUGCCGAAUUUGGCAUCCUCCUCUGCCCUCUCCGCAGGUGCGGGAGCAUAGCUUUAAAAGCUUGUUCGGUGCAGAAAACGCCAAAGGAACACUAUGCCUGCAAGCAAUUUUCUUGAGUUGAUAGAUGACCUUAUGUGUUUAAGGGACCGCGCAGGGAACAUGCACAAAAAGUAAACAAAAAUGUAGAUAGAAGAGUGCACAUUGUUGCGCAUAUAAACUCUUGCAAAAAUUGUGAGGCACGACUUGAUGGGACGUCGAUUCUUGGCAAAAGCAUGAAUGAGCUUGCGCGGCUUGCCUUAGAGGCCUACCACAUAAAAAGGCAAAAUGAUAAUUGUAUCAGUGACAUAGCUUUGUCCCUGCACCCAUCUGAAUUUGAGUUCCUACGUUUGCAUAUGUGAUAAUUUGGGAGAUCUCUGUAAUGUAAUGUGUGCGCCUGUGCAGUUGUGUGGCCUAGGGCAUAUACCGGGUGUCCC
Molecule: long non-coding RNA, 8179 nt
Organism: Dermacentor andersoni
Lineage: Eukaryota; Metazoa; Arthropoda; Arachnida; Ixodida; Ixodidae
Source: RefSeq, a predicted model, not a curated record